This 782-nucleotide ribosomal RNA is filed under the name uncultured Fibrobacterota bacterium. RNAcentral describes it as "bacterial SSU rRNA". It matches the Rfam family "Bacterial small subunit ribosomal RNA", at positions 1 to 799 of the family's 1533-position model. Lineage: Bacteria; Pseudomonadati; Fibrobacterota. The record is from RNAcentral.
AGGAGAGUUUGAUCCUGGCUCAGAACGAACGCUGGUGGCGUGUCUUAUACAUGCAAGUCGAGCGAGGCAGCAAUGCCGAGCGGCGAACGGGUGAGUAACGCGUAAGCAAUCUGCCCCAUAUCAGGAAAUACCCGUGCCAACGCGCGGUUAAUGUCCAGGAGAGUGGCCUUCUGCAUGGAAGGUUGACUAGAGAUUUAUCGGUAUGGGAUGAGCUUGCGUCCGAUUAGCUAGUUGGCGGGGCAACGGCCCACCAAGGCGACGAUCGGUAGCCGGCCUGAGAGGGUGAUCGGCCACAUUGGGACUGAGAUACGGCCCAGACUCCUACGGGAGGCAGCAGUAGGGAAUAUUGCACAAUGGGGGAAACCCUGAUGCAGCAACGCCACGUGUGGGAAGAAGCAUUUCGGUGUGUAAACCACUGUCAUGAGGGAAUAAGGCCCGUUUUCGGACGGGAUUGAAUGUACCUUGAGAGGAAGCACCGGCAAACUUCGUGCCAGCAGCCGCGGUAAUACGAGGGGUGCAAGCGUUGUUCGGAAUUACUGGGCGUAAAGGGAGCGUAGGCGGAGAUUCAAGCGGAUUGUACAAUCCCGGGGCCCAACCCCGGCUCUGCAGUCCGAACUGGAUCUCUUGGAUAGUUCAGGGGCAGGCGGAAUUCCUGGUGUAGCGGUGGAAUGCGUAGAGAUCAGGAAGAACACCGAUGGCGAAGGCAUCUCACGAAGGGGUGAUUGACGCUGAGGCACGAAAGCGUGGGGAUCAAACAGGAUUAGAUACCCUGGUAGUCCCCU